CGUGGUCAAGGGCUGGGUCGAGGGGCGGAGCCUCGAUGAGCUUUGAGGAUUUUACUGUUUUGUUUUGUGCUGUGCUGUAAUGUAGAUUAUCAUUAACGACUCUGGUGUGAAAUUUGCUACAGCGUAACUGAAAUCAUGCACCAGUGUAGAAGCCACAGAUACCAGGAAGAUGCUCACAGAUGACACUGUUCCAGGAGCGGAGCACCUCAGUGCUCUCCGCCAACACCCACUCACCAAAAGCCAGAAGGAGCCUGCACUUAAUGGGCUCUAUUAAUUCAGGUAAUAAUUAAUAAUAAUAAUAAUAAACAACUUACCUUUCAAUAGCCAAGAUUUCUAUCCCGGAAGCACUGCUGUUUCCAUACUUGAAGGUAAUUAGCUCGGGAUGUUUUUUUUUGGACGUAAUUUUCACUACAGAAUUUAGUGCUUGCCGAGACUGGAUGUAAGCCAGGCCUUUCCUUGAAAGAAUCUCCCUUAAGCAGUACAUAUGGGUGGCGGUAACCAGCAGAUGGCUUGAGAGAAAAGAAGUUUAAGUGAAUUGGGUCUCGACAGACAUGUCAGUUCAACAGCUCCAGUGUAAAAAAUUCAACUUCAAAGAAUUAUUUUUGAGUUAUCUAUGAAUAUAUUUGAUAAACAAGCUAUAUAUUUUUUCAUCUAAUAUUAUGUAAAAUUGUUUUAUUAACAGAUAAUACCAUAAUUAUUUAAGAGUAAAGGUAUGUUUUCUAAUGAGAAGUUGAGUGUAAUGUGUAAAUAAUUUUUAACUUUAAUGGACUAUUCUGCCAUUCUCAGAUUUUUUUUUUUUUUUUUUUUGGUUUUUCGAGACAGGGUUUCUCUGUGUGGCCCUGGCUGUCCUGGAACUCACUUUGUAGACCAGGCAGGACUCGAACUCAGAAAUCUGCCUGCCUCUGCCUCCCGAGUGCUGGGAUUAAAGGCAUGCGCCCCCACGCCCAGCUCCAUUCUCAGAAUUUUUAACAGGAUUAUAUGUAUUCAAAACUAUUCUCUGUCUAAUAUCAUAAAGUCCAUUACACAAUUGUUGGGUUUCCUUACAUAUUUUAUAAUAUUCUGCAACUAAAUUCCGAAGGCAAAAUGGGCAUAGCUUAAAAACAAUUAAAGCAGAAAACCUCAAAACUCUUAUAUCUUAGCUCACUUUUAACAUAGCAAACAAUAAGGCAAACUAUUAAACAUGCCUAGAAUUUGAAACAUUUUGCCAGACAUGGCCUAGACUCAUGAAGAGAACAGGCACGUAGGAGAAAAGGGAAAGCCCUAGCAUACACUGCGUGAGAACAGGCAGGCAGUGCAGGACGCACUCAGGGCGGAGGGAAACUGCCAAGGCUAAUGUGGGCAGCACUGGUAACACUCGGGCAAAGUGAUGGCAUCAGAGUUAUGUCAGAAACUGCUGGUACUCUUGGGAUUGUACGCUGAAGCACUUAGGGUGAGCUGCUCAUGGAUGGCCUGGGUGUGCCUGACACUUAUUAUGGGGACUGUGAAGAGCCAACAUGUCCAGGAGAGGGGCAUCAGAGUGUUCAAUGUACUAUUCACUGUCCUGUCUCAGAAUUUCCAAAAUACAAAGUGCCUAAGACCUUUAAAAACAGACACUUAACAGGAGUUGACAGUGGGAAAUGAGGUCUUUUGCACUUGAAUAAAAAGUCCCUUGCACUUUAUGUCUAUAUUGACUUUGCCCAGUGCGAGUUUACUUGUAAAAACAUGUUCAAAAGUACCUAGGAAACAUAUGUCCACUUUCUUUAACUUCUUUACAGGGAAAGUGAUGCUUGAUGUCCGGCUUGUUGAUCCAGGUCUGGAUGUUGACAACCUCUUUCCUAUCAUCAUCUGACAUGGACGAGCUGUCGAUUUCAUCUGGGAGGGAAGAGAAGGGUUAAGGCCAUCAGCACCUUCUUAGCAUGUGACACUUCUUAGCAUGUGACACUUCUUAGCAUGUGGACACUUCUUAGCAUGUGAACACUUCUUAGCAUGUGAACACUUCUUAGCAUGUGGACACUUCUUAGCAUGUGAACACUUCUUACCAUGUGAACACUUCUUAGCAUGUGGACACUUCUUAGCAUGUGAACACUUCUUAGCAUGUGGACACUUCUUAGCAUGUGAACACUUCUUAGCAUGUGGACACUUCUUAGCAUGUGAACACUUCUUAGCAUGUGGACACUUCUUAGCAUGUGAACACUUCUUAGCAUGUGAACACUUCUUAGCAUGUGGACACUUCUUAGCAUGUGAACACUUCUUAGCAUGUGGACACUUCUUAGCAUGUGGACACUUCUUAGCAUGUGGACACUUCUUAGCAUGUGAACACUUCUUAGCAUGUGGACACUUCUUAGCAUGUGGACACUUCUUAGCAUGUGGACACUUCUUAGCAUAUGGACACUUCUUAGCAUGUGACACUUCUUAGCAUGUGGACACGUCUUAGCAUGUGGACACUUCUUAGCAUGUGGACACACUGCUUAGCAACCACAAACUAUUGGUUGUGUUCUUAAAGUAGGGCAUGACAGUGAGAAACAAAAGGAAGCACUUCAAAUCCUGCUGGUUCUGUUACAGAGACACGGGAAACAACCCUUACAGUAAGCAAGUCCACUCAAACUCCUGGGAGUACAUGUUGCACUUUUGAGAAAAGAUGUCACAACUGUGGCCUGGCAUGUCAGUGAGAAGCACCUUUCUCGAGGCAGGGAAGGCAGUGUUCCCCUUUGCCAGUUUCUGACUUAAUAAACAGCACAGGGGAAACUUCCUGAAGGGAACACCAAUAGCUUAUGCUCUAAGAACAACAAUCGACAAAUGGGACUCAGAAAACUGCAAAGCAGCUGUAAGGCAAAGGGCACUGUCAAUAGGACAAAAUGGCAACUAACAGAUCGGGAAAAGAUCUUUACCAAUCCUACAUCCGAUAGAGGGCUAAUAUCCAAUAUAUACAAAGAACUCAAGAAGUUAGACUCCAGAGAAUCAAAUAACCCUAUUAAAAGAAAUGGGACACAGAGCUAAACAAAGAAUUCUCAACCGAGGAAAGUCUAAUGGCCAAGAAGCACCUAAAGAAAUGUUCAACAUCCUUUGAUGUUUUGGUAAAUCUCCAACCCAAAUAUGCCCCAGCAAUGAAAACACAACUCAAUUAAUAUAAAUACAUGCUGUGCGCUUAGAUUGGGCAAAUCUACCGCCACACUACCAUCUUCUCCAUCUCCUUAUAACUUGCAGUUUCUUCAGGCCAUGUACUUCUGCUCUGCUUUUCUUCUUCCUCCUCUUCAGCAUCCUCUCCCUCUUCCAUUUUCUCCUUCUCACUCCCCACCUCCACUCCACCAUCCCUUUAUCUGCCCAAUCUCCUUUAUUUUACAAAUUAAGGUGGAAAGCAGGUUUACAGGAAGUCACCUGAGUGCUGACUCAUUUCUUGUUUGGAGCCCCUCACAGGGAUGGAAUUAACAUCAAAUAUAAUUAGGCCCAAGGCUCUCCACAACACUUAGUCAUCAGAGAAAUGCAAAUCAAAACAACCCUGAGAUUCCACCUCACACCAGUCAGAAUGGCUAAGAUCAAAAACUCAGGUGACAGCAGAUGCUGGCAAGGAUGUGGAGAAAGAGGAACACUCCUCCAUUGUUGGUGGGAUUGCAGGCUUGUACAACCACUCUGGAAAUCAGUCUGGCGGUUCCACAGAAAAUUGGACAUAGUACUACCGGAGGAUCCAGCAAUACCUCUUCUGGACAUAUACCCAGAAGAUGUUCCAACAUGUAAUAAGGACUCAUGCUCCCCUAUGUUCAUAGCAGCCUUAUUCAUAAUUUCCAGAGGCUGGAAAGAACCCAGAUGUCCCUCAACAGAGGAAUGGAUACAGAAAAUGUGGUACAUUUACACAAUGGAGUACUACUCAGCUGUUAAAAACAAUGAAUUUAUGAAAUAAAUAAAUAUAUAUUUUAGGUAGAAAAUAUAUAUAUAUUUAUUUAUUUAUUUUAGGGUAGGUGAGUGGGGGAGCACCCCAUGCAGGGGGAAGAGGGAUGGGAUGGGAGUUUCCAAAGGGGAAACUGGGAAAGGGGAUAACAUUUGAAAUGUAAAUGAAGAAAAUAUUCAAUAAAAGAAAAAAAGAGAAAAAAAGAAAAGAAAAGAACACUACGUCCUGCAUUACAUCAGGAAAAUGUUCUUCAAUUAAAAUAAACAUUCUAAUUUUGUUUUCCUAAAUUAAGAAAAUGGAAUUGUAAUGCCUCAGGUUAAUAAUUACAAAUGUUCCUCCCUUUGUUUCUGUGUGUAUGGUCCUGUGAGUGCACGUGUGCACAUGUACAUGUGUGUGUACAUAUGUGUGCACUUGUGUGCGCAUGUGCCUGUGGAGACCAGAGGAUAACCUCUAUGUGUGUCCUGAACUCAAGUGAGCAUGCUGGGCAGCAAGCAAACUGACCUGCUGAGCCAUCUGGCCUCCCCACCCCCACCCCAGCCCUUCCCCGCCCCCUCUACCCCACCACUUUUCCUUUUGAGGCAGUGUUUGUCACUGCCCUGGAGCUCACUAGGCAGACUAGGCUGGCUGGCUGUAGAUUAACUCCAGGGAUCCACUUGUCUCUGCAUCCUGGAUGCUGGGAUUACCAGCCUAGGCCACUCUGCUAACUAGUUUUAUGACAACUAAUUCUGAAAGAGAAACUUCAGUUGAGAAAAUGCCCCGUGAGGCUGGCCUGAGCAAGCCUGUGGUGAGUUUAAUCACUGAUGACUGAUGAUUCUUGUAGCUGGUGCCUCCCCUGGGCUGGUAGUUCUCAGUGCUAUAAGAAAGCAGGCUGAGCAAGCCAUAAAGAGCAAGGCAGUAAAUAGCACCCCUCCAUGGCUUCUGCUUCAGUUCCUGCCUCCAGCUUCUGGCUCUGAGUUUCUGCCCUCGGAGAUGAAAUGACCUGAGAACUGUAGGAUAAAAUAAACCCAUUCUUCCCCAA
This is a long non-coding RNA of Mus musculus (house mouse), 4880 nucleotides long. RefSeq annotates it as predicted gene, 16892. The transcript has 2 exons. NCBI's taxonomy places the organism in Eukaryota, Metazoa, Chordata, Mammalia, Rodentia, Muridae. The record is from RefSeq and is a predicted model, not a curated record.